GGCCUGGUCCCACACUUUGCUCAAUGCCGAAUGACCGAAACGAUAUGUGAAGAACAAGAAGAUGACAGUACCCAGAAGAGUGGCUAAGGGGUGCCCCGCCUUCCACAGCGCUAAGUUUGACACUGUCCAGAUGGAGCGUCCACAGUUCCGUGGUGCUGUCACUUCCUAUCCAACUAGAGAGGUGCAGCAUGGAAUUGAAAAUCAGAAAGUCUUCAGAAAUACCUGGUGCUGUGAUAGAGCAGUUGAAAAGCUUCAUCGGUUUCAAUAUUUGGGGAAGUGUCUCAGAAAUUGAGUGCAUGUUUUUCCAUCUCUGAAGACUUGUUUGCCUCUUAUAUCGUGAAGGUACCUGGUAAUGAACUCAUAGUUAAGAGCUAAUUUGAAAUGGAAUUUUAUAGAGCCAAUUUUUUGGUGGUUUAAAGUUAAUUGCUUUGUACCUAAUUUAGGUUCCACAGGGAGCAAUUCUGAUCUCCCCCAACAAAUUUUAUCUCAAAUGAGGCUGAUCUAUGAUCCUAUUACGUGUGUCUGGGUGUCUAUCAAUAAACACCAUGGGAUACACUAAGUUUCUAAUGGA
This 571-nucleotide long non-coding RNA is filed under the name Sus scrofa (pig). RNAcentral describes it as "lncRNA (ENSSSCG00025014027.1)". The record is from RNAcentral. Lineage: Eukaryota; Metazoa; Chordata; Mammalia; Artiodactyla; Suidae.